CGCUCUGAUACCAAUUGAAGAAAAGAAAAAUUGUUUCUCUUCAAAUAAUUAGGAUUGUAUCUAAAAUAUUUUUACUAAUAUAUAUGAAUAAAGAUCAGAUCCUUAUCUGAAUAGUAAUAGAAUUAAAGAUGAAAUCUUCAAAAAUUUGAAAUAAAUCUUUGCGGAGGUCUGGAAGUACUGACCUUCUACUUCGUAUGCACG
This 201-nucleotide long non-coding RNA is filed under the name Elaeis guineensis (African oil palm). Its description in RNAcentral is "long non-coding RNA (EGUI_LNC065357)". The record is from RNAcentral. Lineage: Eukaryota; Viridiplantae; Streptophyta; Magnoliopsida; Arecales; Arecaceae.